This 514-nucleotide ribosomal RNA is filed under the name uncultured bacterium. RNAcentral describes it as "bacterial SSU rRNA". It matches the Rfam family "Bacterial small subunit ribosomal RNA", at positions 15 to 518 of the family's 1533-position model. The record is from RNAcentral.
GAUUCUGGCUCAGGAUGAACGCUAGCUACAGGCUUAACACAUGCAAGUCGAGGGGCAGCAUUGGGAUAGCUUGCUAUUCAGAUGGCGACCGGCGCACGGGUGAGUAACGCGUAUCCAACCUUCCUGCCAGUAGGGAACAGCCCGGCGAAAGUCGGAUUAAUGCCCUAUGUUCUUCAAUGCGGACAUCUAAGUUGAAGGAAAGAUUCAUCGCUGGCAGAUGGGGAUGCGUCCGAUUAGCUUGCCGGCGGGGUAACGGCCCACCGGGGCGACGAUCGGUAGGGGUUCUGAGAGGAAGGUCCCCCACACUGGUACUGAGACACGGACCAGACUCCUACGGGAGGCAGCAGUGAGGAAUAUUGGUCAAUGGGCGUAAGCCUGAACCAGCCAAGUAGCGUGCAAGGACGACGGCCCUACGGGUUGUAAACUGCUUUUAUGCGGGGAUAAAGUGCGGCACGUGUGCCGCUUUGCAGGUACCGCAUGAAUAAGGACCGGCUAAUUCCGUGCCAGCAGCUGC